AGCCCUCCAUGUUGAAGUGAGAUGAGGGUACAACAUGGAGUCCAGCAUAGAACUUGUGAUAACUUCCAUUGCAGAACAAGGCACAUUCUAAUCACUGUAGAGAGAGCUCUGCACACAGGGGAAGCCUGAAGAGUAAUAUAUUACAAACACAACUGGCUGCUGGAGGUUUGAAACAAGAAGGCCAUAUCAGUUCCAGGCUGAGGGAAGCCAUGAAUGGUUUCUAAUCAGAGACUGGGGCUGUGUAAUCUAAAGGUAACUCUGAGCUCUGGGCCUUACCACUUAGCUGAGAGCCUGUCCAAGACCUCAGGAGGUAUUCAAUCAACAUCUGUUGGAUGAAUGAAUGGGUGGAAGAUGAUGGAGACAAGGAUGCUGGUCUGAAGGUGCAGCCCUUGCAUCCACAGAGCAUGUGAACCAGAACAGAAAUUGCCACAGCCACCCUGACCUUCAGCCACCCUGACCUUCAGCAACCAUCACCCUGAGCAGUCAGCAGCCAACAGCAUUGAGGCAAGAUCCUCCACCAGCAAAAAGAUUAUGACUCAUUGAAAGUUCAGAUGAUUGUUAACAGCUUUUAGCAAUAAAAUAUUUUUAAAAUUAAA
Long non-coding RNA from Canis lupus familiaris (dog), 596 nucleotides. RefSeq lists it as uncharacterized. The transcript has 4 exons. The record is from RefSeq and is a predicted model, not a curated record. Lineage: Eukaryota; Metazoa; Chordata; Mammalia; Carnivora; Canidae.